AUCCAUAAUUAUCUCACACAAUUUUGGCUUUAUAAACUUGUAGUGCUAUAAUUUUCUGUCUUUUCUUUGCACCAUUGUUUUGAAAGACUGCAGUGUGUUCUUUAUUUUCCCUGCACUAGGACUGCCAUCACCCUGCAUAUCACAUCCACUAUAUCAUAUUAAUGGCUGCCAGCUCAACAGUUUGAUACUCAGUCCCAUAUAUCAAAUGCUGAUAUAAUCCAUUGCUGUACGGUAUAUUUCAUUUGCAUUUAUCUUUUCCAUAUCCAGCACUCUUUUAUCACUCUUUCGGCAGCCCCUCUUCUCCCCCUCCCCCCGUUUAUUCUCCCUGGCACAUAUCUAUACAUUCUUCUUGACUGCGUUAUUAAUAAUCCCUACAAAGACCUUUCUCCCCCUUUUACCUUUUCCCUCUCGGUAACUGACAGCUUCUUACAAUGUGGCCUUUUAAUGCGGUAGAGUGGGGCCUGAAUGAGGAUGUUUCUUUGUUAUUUUCACAGACAUUAGCAUAGCUGCCUGAGCUGGGACUCAGGCACUUUCUCUAGAUAUGAUUUAUGACAUCAAUCCAAUUUAUGGCCAUUUAAAGGAAUGCUGAACUGGCUGUAAAUCAGCAAAAGCACAUAAAAUACUCAUGAGAACCGCUGGAAUCCAUCUGCAUCAGCCUCUAUCACCUGUAACAGCAGCCAAUCAGCAUCAAAGGAAUGGAGCUGUCAUUUGGGCAGAGGGAAGCAAUGGCAAUGAUAGGUUUGCAUCAAGAAGAAACAACUCACCUGAUGACAGUAGACAGAACAGAUGUGAAUUUCAGUGGGCUGAAGAUAUCCCAAGAGGAUUCACUGGGGAGCCACACGGUAGUAGUCACAUGGAAACUGCAAAUUUCAGUGAGAAAGAUUCUAUAAGGCAAUGGCAAAAGUCAAGUUUGGAGGGCCUGGGGUGUGGCACAGAAGUAUGUGGUAUGUAAAUUGAGCCACCUUGAGGGACAGUUUCAAAUCACAUGUUAUUUGUCUAUGAAUCCAAUUGUCUCAUCACUUAUAAACUGUUUGACCUUCAUCAAACUUGUUAACCUCUCUCUGCCUGUUUCUUUAUCUGUAAAACAAUAUAGUACUUGUUUAAAGAUGAAUGGACAUAUUUCAUGCAAAGAUGUAAAGUGCUAAGAAUAGUUUGUGGCAUACAGUAAGUGCUGAAUAAUGACAUCUAUUAGUAUUUUUGUUACCGCUAUUAUUACAUACUUUGUUCUUUUUUUUUUCCCCAGGCUAGGGGGUCUAAUCAGAGCUGCAGCUGCCAGCCACAGCUGCAGCCACAGCCACACCAAUGAGUGAUCCAAGUGGUGUCUGUGACCCAUACCAUAGCUCACAGUAACACUGGAUCCUUAAGCCAUUGAGCAAGGCCAGGGAUCGAACCCACAUCCUCAUGGAUACUGGUCGGGUUCAUAACCCAUUGAGCCACAGUAGGAACUCCUGCACUUUGUUCUUGUUCCCUCUUCUUACUAAAGCCAACCUAAUGAAAUUUUAUUACCAUGAUUUAUUUGGCCCCUAACUUUUUUAUAUUACUUCUAAAUUGUUAUGUUAUCACCACUUCCUUCUCUGACAACUUCCAUAAUCCACAUAUGUUGCAAUUUAACAUUGCAUAUGUUCUCACCCUAUGCCUAUACAUUGAAUCAAUUCCAUCCUAGCUCUAUAAAUCCUCAUCAGUGAACAGACUGAUCAACAGCAUAGGUUUCUAUGCCUUGCCCAUCUGGUUUUCUGCAUAGUCUUUCCAUCCUAACGUUUUGGUUAUUUAUCUCCUGGAAUUUAUACCCUAACUAUUUUAUAAAAAAAAGGCAUUGAGGCAGUAAACAUCAGUAUCAAAAAUCUAGCAGUGUUUUCCAAAGGAGUUAAAUUGCCAUAUUAAAGAGCUAGAUUGCAUGUGAAAUUCUUUGCCUGAGAGUGAGAGUUACUGAACACUGGAGAGGGUUGCCAGGUUGUUUUAACUAAGACACCAGAGCUUUAGUCUCACAUAUUUAUAUCCAAGUGGUAUGUGGGCAUAGGGCACAAAACUCAGACCUGCAGUAAGCAAGGACCCUUAUCACAGGUCAUAUGAUAUCAAAAUAUCCCCUUUAAUAAGGUCAUUGUAAUAAAACGCAGAUAACAGAAUAGGAUUGACA
This 2134-nucleotide long non-coding RNA is filed under the name Sus scrofa (pig). RNAcentral describes it as "lncRNA (ENSSSCG00040029048.1)". The record is from RNAcentral. Lineage: Eukaryota; Metazoa; Chordata; Mammalia; Artiodactyla; Suidae.